This 472-nucleotide ribosomal RNA is filed under the name uncultured delta proteobacterium. Its description in RNAcentral is "bacterial SSU rRNA". It matches the Rfam family "Bacterial small subunit ribosomal RNA", at positions 400 to 863 of the family's 1533-position model. Lineage: Bacteria; Deltaproteobacteria. The record is from RNAcentral.
CGUGAGUGAAGAAGGCUUUCGGGUCGUAAAGCUCUGUCAAGUGGGAAAAAAAUCUGAUGAUUAAUAGUUGUCAGGUCUGAUGGUACCACUGGAGGAAGCACCGGCUAACUCCGUGCCAGCAGCCGCGGUAAUACGGAGGGUGCAAGCGUUGUUCGGAAUUACUGGGCGUAAAGGGCGUGCAGGCGGGUUGGUAAGUCAGAUGUGAAAGCCCUGGGCUUAACCCAGGAAGUGCAUUUGAAACUGCCAUCCUUGAGUAUGGGAGAGGAGAGUGGAAUUCCCAAUGUAGAGGUGAAAUUCGUAGAUAUUGGGAGGAACACCCGUGGCGAAGGCGACUCUCUGGACCAAUACUGACGCUGAGACGCGAAAGCGUGGGGAGCAAACAGGAUUAGAUACCCUGGUAGUCCGCGCUGUAAACGAUGAGAACUAGGUGUAGCGGGUAUUGACCCCUGCUGUGCCGAAGUUAACGCAUUAA